RNAcentral lists this transfer RNA (76 nucleotides) under Actinomycetota bacterium. Its description in RNAcentral is "Actinobacteria bacterium tRNA-Arg". It matches the Rfam family "tRNA". From Rfam's summary of the family: Transfer RNA (tRNA) molecules are approximately 80 nucleotides in length. Lineage: Bacteria; Bacillati; Actinomycetota. The record is from RNAcentral.
GCCUCCGUAGCUCAAAGGAGAGAGCACCGGGUUUCUACCCCGAUGGUUGUGGGUUCGAGUCCUACCGGGGGCACCA